UACGAGGGGGGCGAGCGUUGCUCGGAAUUACUGGGCGUAAAGCGCACGUAGGCGGCUUCUUAAGUCGGUGGUGAAAUCCUGGAGCUCAACUCCAGAACUGCCUUCGAUACUGGGAAGCUCGAGUCCGGGAGAGGUGAGUGGAACUGCGAGUGUAGAGGUGAAAUUCGUAGAUAUUCGCAAGAACACCAGUGGCGAAGGCGGCUCACUGGCCCGAUACUGACGCUGAGGUGCGAAAGCGUGGGGAGCAAACAGG
RNAcentral lists this ribosomal RNA (253 nucleotides) under uncultured bacterium. RNAcentral describes it as "partial 16S ribosomal RNA". It matches the Rfam family "Bacterial small subunit ribosomal RNA", at positions 524 to 776 of the family's 1533-position model. The record is from RNAcentral.